ACUUGUCCCUGCACAGGACAGAAGGGGUUGGAACUGAAUUGAUUAUUGAUUAUCUUUGAUAAUUUGAAUUAUCAAAUUAUCUUGAUUUGGAUGCCUUCCAAAUCAAACCAUGCUGUGAUUGAAAUGGAGUACUUGGGAAUAGAGCACAGUGAAAACAAAGCUUCUCAUGGAACAAGACCUCCAUGAGUACUAUCCAUUAUACCUGUCUUUACGUUUUAGUUUAUUAGUAUCAAAUCUCUUUGACUUCCUAAAAUUUAUUUUUCCAUUUCCUCUCGCUAUCUGGCCAAACUUAGUCUAUAGAAACUUGUCUUAUCCUUUUUAUCAUUCUCGAACUUGAGAGCCACAUGUUAAUCAGCCAGAGAAGGCUGGUUGUCUAGAGUUCAGGCAAAAAAUACUAAAAGGAAUUAUUGGUACCUACUUGAUUUCUGGGGCCACAAAGAACUUCUCUGUCCUUCUUCAGUUUCAAGCUGAUAUUCCUAGAUUCACCAAAUCUCUUAGGAAAACUGUCAUGCCUGAUGAAGAACCUUCCAGUGGCACACAGUGGGAGCAUGCCAGGCUCUUGUACCGCUUUCCUUUGCAGUUUCAGGCAGGUGGGGCUGGGCAAGGGGUAGGGUAGAGCACUGGCAAGGAGAGAAAUGGCAGUCAGUGGUUCUGCCAGCCUCCUCCACACAGAAUUUAACAUGGCAGGGUGUUGGAGAUCCAGGCACAGAAAAUGUCCCUUUAUCUAUGCUGUCAGGCUCAGGCACCUGAGAGAACACUGUGUUUAAUUUAAGACCAUGGAGAAGGCUUCUAAAACUAAGUUGAGAAACUGGGAAUGUGAAUGUGUGAGUUAGAUAGAAUUAUGUUAAGUUACUGAGUGAAAAAUACAGAGUUUAGAGAUAUAGUAGUGAAUAAGAGACAAGAUGGAGGUUCUUAGGCAUUGGUUUGCCUUUGCCUUCCUUCUUCUUCAUGGAUUUUGGUAAUAUUUUUGUGAUUUUUGGAGGUGAAAAAGUUUGCAGUGCAGAACACAGGUGUUUGGUUUUUGGGUUAAAUGUAAAAAUAAGUUAGUUGUCAUUUGAUAAUUGGAUAGUUUUUGCUUAAAAGGCCUUGUGGACAGAGCCCAAGGUCACCAUUUGUAGCUUGCUAGGUUAGUGUUUAGAAGUACUUACUAUCUGUAAAAAUGCAGUAUAGAUAAGGUAAAAUAAACAUUAUAAGCCUGAAUGUGAAAACUGUCUCUCUGCUUGUCAAUCCUGAUCCUGGGGAAAAGAAGUGAACACUUUUACAUUUGGUGCCCCAGAGACUUCUACAGCAGGGCAGGUCUUUGCCUCAUGAAGGAGGGCCAGAUGGAGGAAGAAAGAGGAGAUGAUGCCCCAUGGAAAUAGAUGAAACACAUUUUGAGAAGAGGGAACCCAUCUCCCACACUGUACAGACCAGACUAACAUUACUGGAAUAUCUUCAGUAGGUUUGGCUUGAAAUCAUGAAUGGACAUAUUUCACAAUGAUUUACAAAUAUACUUUGGACUUCCUAGCAAUGUCUCAAUUGUUUAUGUGGGUAUCAAAACCCGAAACUGUGGCCUCCUCAAAUGUCCCCUAUUCUAGACUGCAUUGCCCUGUGCCUGCAAUAAACCUCUGACUUCAAAAUGGUUUGCACAAUUCUCAUUCAGCCUUCUCCAUACCAGAAAUUUUGUCCGUGGCUACUUUAUUUUGGGAAAAAAAUAGAAGAGUCCCCAAGAAAACUUUGAGCUGUGAAAAUUAUUAGUGCUUAAUAUGCAAGUUCCAAUAUACAAGCCAGAUUCAGUCCUCUGCCCAAGAGGGAGGGUAUGGAUACACCCACAUAUCAGAUCAGCUGCCCAGCAGCCAGCUAGGGCCUCAGUGGGAUGGAUCCAUCUUACACGCAGCACUGCAUCUUGUGGGUAGAUGAAACAGGAAAGGAACUUGAGGAGGGACUGGAGCACCCAUUCCUCUUGCACCAGAUGAAUGUCCCCACAGAUGAUGUUCAUGUGCUC
Molecule: long non-coding RNA, 1984 nt
Organism: Cyanistes caeruleus (blue tit)
Lineage: Eukaryota; Metazoa; Chordata; Aves; Passeriformes; Paridae
Source: RefSeq, a predicted model, not a curated record